UGAGGAAUAUUGGUCAAUGGGCGGCAGCCUGAACCAGCCAUCCCGCGUGAAGGAAGAAUGCGCUAUGCGUUGUAAACUUCUUUUUCAGGGGGAUAAAAUUCUGUAUGAAUACGGAACUGAAGGUACCCUGAGAAUAAGCAUCGGCUAACUCCGUGCCAGCAGCCGCGGUAAUACGGAGGAUGCGAGCGUUAUCCGGAUUUAUUGGGUUUAAAGGGUGCGUAGGCGGAAGAAUAAGUCAGUGGUGAAACCCUGCAGCUUAACUGUAGACUUGCCAUUGAUACUGUUUUUCUUGAGUAUGGUCAAGGCAGACGGAAUGUGUAAUGUAGCGGUGAAAUGCUUAGAUAUUACACAGAACACCGAUGGCGAAGGCAGCUUGCUGGGCCGUUACUGACGCUGAUGCACGAAAGCGUGGGGAUCGAACAG
This 423-nucleotide ribosomal RNA is filed under the name uncultured bacterium. Its description in RNAcentral is "bacterial SSU rRNA". It matches the Rfam family "Bacterial small subunit ribosomal RNA", at positions 355 to 775 of the family's 1533-position model. The record is from RNAcentral.